UUAUUUAUUUAUCAAAGACUCAAUAAUUCUCUCUCUGUUCUUGUACCCAAAAAAAAAAGCUCCUUCUUUGUUCCUCAGGAACAGAAAGAAGCAGCUUCAUGACUACAAGCUGAGCUCAAAUCUCACCGAAUUGCUUAGUUCGUCUUAAAAUUCGAAAUUGGAAUCGGAGAAUUAGGGCUACUGCUUCAAGCUUCAGGCUGAAAGUGGACUUCGGAUGUGAUAUCGGGGCGGCGUGGAUUGGGCAUUGGACAUUUGGAUGGGCCACUAUCAAAAUCUGAGCUUGUUGCUCCUUCGACAUGUAAAUGCUAUUUCUGUGAACUGAAGGCAAUUGGGUGUGGUCAGUUGAAGUUCACCAGAAAGCACUAUUGUACAAGGCCCAUGGAAAGGGAGGAUGAUGAUUUUGGUAGUCUUCAUGAGGAUAGCAUGGAUGUCGGACUUCAAGCAACAAAUAGGUUGGACUUGAAUGUAGAGCAGGACUCCCGCAGCCCAAAAGUUGUCUAUGUCAACGGCACUCAGUCUAAUCCUCCCUCCAUAGGUGCAGACAGUAAAGAUUCAGUCUUAGAAGUUGGUACAGAGUUUGAGUCUGAUGAACAUGCCUACAAAUCUUACAAUAAAUAUGCCAGGUUGGUGGGUUUUAAUGUUAGGAAAGACUGGGUAAAUAGGAGUAAGGUACAUGGUCAGGUGGUAUCUAGGAAGUUCACUUGUUCUAAAGAGGGGUAUCGGCGGAAGGACAAAAGAGAUGUUAAUGUAAAGAAACAUCGAAAGGAAACAAGAACUGGUUGCUUGGCUCAUAUGAUCAUCACCCGUCAACCUGAUGGUAAAUAUCGGGUUACACAAUUUGAAGAACAACACAAUCAUGGCAAUGUAAAUUCAAGUAUUGCUCAAGCAUUGCCAGAACAACACAAUCAUGACAAUGUAAAUCUAAGUAUUGCUCAAGCAUUGCCAGAACAAAGAGAAUGCACUGUUCCUGAAGCUGCUGAUGCUGACUCGGUAAAAGAGUUAGGAUCAUUGUCAAAAUCGGCACUAGACUCGAUGAAUAGAGGGUUUAGGGUAAGGGAAUCUGUUGAUAGUUUUGCCUUAGAUUUUGAAAAUUAUCUUCAAUCUGAAAGGACUCGAGAUAUGAAGGAAGGAGAGGUGGGACGUUUGCUGCAUUACUUUCAAAGGCAGCACUUUGAAAACCCAUCGUUCUUUUACGCAAUACAGGUUGAUACUGAUGAUAAAGUGAGUAACAUACUUUGGGCUGAUGAUAAUAUGGUAUCAGAUUAUGACCAUUUUGGGGAUGUGGUUUGUCUAGACACGGUUUGCAGAGCAGACAAGAAUUGCCUGCCAUUUGUACAGUUUGUAGGAGUAAAUAAUCAUAAACAGGUAGUUAUCUUUUCUGCUGCACUGUUGUAUGAUGACACUGUUCAAUCUUAUAAGUGGCUAUUUCAAACUUUUGUGGAGUCGAUGUCCGGGAAGAAACCAAAGGCCAUUCUUACCGAUCAAGAUGCAGCAAUUGUUGAGGCAAUCAAUUCAGUUUUACCUGAAACAGACCAUCGGAUAUGCACAUGGCAAAUGUGCCAGAAUGCUCUCAAGCACCUUAACCACAUAGUAAAAGAUACCGAAUCUUUUGCCAAUGAUUUCAAGAGCUGUAUAUAUGACGAAAAAGAUGAAGAUGGGUUUGUGUAUGCUUGGGGGAAUAUGCUGGAUAAUUAUGGUCUUCAGCAGAAUGACUGGUUAAAAUGGAUGUUUAGGGAACGAGAGAAAUGGGCUGUGGUAUAUGGCAGGAAUACUUUUUUUGUUGACAGAAAAGGCUCACAUCUGGUUGAAAGUUUGUUUCAUGAUUUGAGAAAUUACCUAUACUCUGACCUAGAUGUGCUUGAUUUUGUUAAGUAUUUCGAAAGGUUGGUAGAUGAGCAACGUUACAAAGAAAUAGAAGCCAAUGAUGAAAUGAACCGCUGCAUGCCAAGACUAAUGGGGAAUGUGAUUUUACUAAAGCAUGCAAGUGAUGUUUACACUCCAAGGGCAUUUGAAGUGUUCCAGCGAGGAUAUGAGAAGUGUUUGAAUAUUGUUGUUAACCAAUGCAGUGAGAAUGGGCCAUUGUUCGAGUACAAAACCAACAUAUUUGGUAAAAGUAGAGAACACACCGUUACAUUCAACUCUUCUGAUGACGCAGUUAUUUGCAGCUGCAAGAAAUUUGACUCUGUUGGGUUUCUAUGUAGCCAUGCUCUUAAAGUACUUGAUCACAUGAAUAUAAAGGUUGUCCCCUCCAAAUAUAUCUUGAAGAGAUGGACAAAAAAUGCAAGGUUAGGGAGUGCAAGAGAGAAUGAUGUGUCCUCCAUCAGGGAUAACCCAAAGCUUGUUGUGGCAAGCCGUUACAAAAAUAUGUGCGGCCGAAUUAUUAUGUUAUCAGCCAAGGCUUCUGCAUCUGAGGAAGCAUUUCAAUUUGCUGUUGGACAACUUGAUGAAGUGAUGGAAGGUGUGGAGAAAAUCUUGACAUUAAAACCUCAGGAUGCUCAAGCUUUCACCUCAAGUAGCACCGCAAAUGCUUCUGAUAGUGAACGUGCAGUGGUUUUUCCAGAUGGAAAUGCAAUUGAAGAUCAGGAUGACAGUGUAGUAAAAGGAGCAAAGGAAAAAGAGACGGCUGUUUUUGACAAAGGUCAAUUAACAAAUGUGAAUGGUGAAUUCUCUAGUACAAAAAGAAUUCAGAAUGUAGAUACAUCCCUACAAAACACUGAUUCCUGCAUUUCGAGUCCGUCUUUGUAUGUUUCACCUGAAGGGACAACAGCAAAUCCCAUUAUGCAGGGUUUAUACAAUUUUGAAGCGAAUCAGGUGGUCCAGUGUAUGUACCAACAAGAUAAUCUGGUGCUGGAAGAGCAUUCCAAUCCUAACAUGUAUCAACCACUCAACUUCUUUUCUAACCAACACGAUUCACCUGGCCAUUCUCAACUACUACAGGAACCUCUGAUCAAUGGCACAUACCAAGAGCCCGUAUCAAGCACCCCUGAAUUGAGGCAAUGGAUCUCGAUGUCCAACAUCCACAUUCAUCUUCAUUCUUGCUUUUGGAUCGUGGAUAGAGGGCUUCUGACAGUCCAUUUCUUGUGCUCAAGUAAAGGCAAGGAGGGCCUUAAGGGCACUUAAAGCACUCGUGAAGCUUCAAGCUUUGGUGAGAGGCCACAUAGUGAGAAAACAAUCGGCAGACAUGCUCAGGCGUAUGCAGACACUGGUCCGAGUACAAGCCCGAGCACGUGCAAGUCGAACACUCAUGUCAGACUCACCACAUUCUAGCAGAAAAUCCUCCCUAUCUCACCACCCUCUCCCAGAAAGUCCUGACAAAAUUGGAUACCAACCCCGUGCUUGUAGCAGCAAAUUUGAUGGACCCUCAAUACUGAAGAGAUGCGGUUCAAAUUCAAAUGUAAGGGAUGUCGUAAAUCUAGACAGAAGACGGCUGGCGUCAGGUUGGUUAGACCGGUGGAUGGAAGAAAGUGCGCGGAACAACCGCCGAGAUGCUUCACUGAGAUAUGAGCAAGCAGAUGACGUAAGGGGUGACAAGAUACUUGAAGUAGAUACUUGGAAGCCUCACUUGGGCUCCCAACGUAGACCCCAAACCUUUCAAACAGCACAUCAUGUUCUGACUUCAAAUCGUUACAACCCAACCUUCAUGACAUUUGACUCUCCAUCAAAACA
Prunus persica (peach) is the source of this 3666-nucleotide RNA transcript. It is a transcript of the gene named protein FAR1-RELATED SEQUENCE 5, with no coding region annotated. Lineage: Eukaryota; Viridiplantae; Streptophyta; Magnoliopsida; Rosales; Rosaceae. The transcript has 9 exons. The record is from RefSeq and is a predicted model, not a curated record.